UACGUAGGGUGCGAGCGUUGUCCGGAAUUAUUGGGCGUAAAGAGCUCGUAGGCGGUCUGUCGCGUCUGCUGUGAAAACUCAGGGCUUAACCCUGAGCUUGCAGUGGGUACGGGCAGACUAGAGUGCGGUAGGGGAGACUGGAAUUCCUGGUGUAGCGGUGAAAUGCGCAGAUAUCAGGAGGGAACACCGGUGGCGAAGGCGGGUCUCUGGGCCGUAACUGGACGCUGGAGGAGCGAAAGCAUGGGGAGCGAACAGG
This 256-nucleotide ribosomal RNA is filed under the name uncultured bacterium. Its description in RNAcentral is "partial 16S ribosomal RNA". It matches the Rfam family "Bacterial small subunit ribosomal RNA", at positions 524 to 776 of the family's 1533-position model. The record is from RNAcentral.